AACUGAUACUACCUGCGGGAACCUGCGGAAGGAUCAUUACCGAGCUCGUGCCCUUCGGGGCAGAUCUCCCACCCGAUGUCAUGACUACGAUGUUGCUUUGGCGGGCCGCCGGGCCCUGCCCGCCAGAGGUCUCCUAGACUCUGAAUAUUAGUGUCGUCCGAGUAUCACAGAAUAGUCAAAACUUUCAACAACGGAUCUCU
RNAcentral lists this unclassified non-coding RNA (200 nucleotides) under soil metagenome. RNAcentral describes it as "partial contains 5.8S ribosomal RNA, internal transcribed spacer 2, and large subunit ribosomal RNA". The record is from RNAcentral.